Beta vulgaris subsp. vulgaris (sugar beet) is the source of this 495-nucleotide long non-coding RNA. RefSeq lists it as uncharacterized. The record is from RefSeq and is a predicted model, not a curated record. The transcript is spliced from 2 exons. Lineage: Eukaryota; Viridiplantae; Streptophyta; Magnoliopsida; Caryophyllales; Amaranthaceae.
CUUUUUUGUUACUGGUUUCAAAAUUCCAGUGUACUUUUCUUUCUAUUCUAUUUUCUUGUGAUUGAUUUCUUGAACAUUCAGUUGAAGUGAAAGAGAGCUUUAGCAUGCUCCUGCAAAGAAUCACUGAAGAAAGACUAUGAGUACGGACACCUGAAACUAAAAGGUAAACCUGUAAAUCUGCUCUUUGUUUUGCUGCCUUGUAGGCUAUGUCUCUGAUGCUAUCAGUGGAUCCGGAGUCACGAUGUUGCUUCCAGAAAAGAGAACAAUACUCUUGUCAGUGAGAGGAAGUGAGUGUUACUGCCUUUAAUGUACAACCGACAUGUUGACACUAGUAUUUUGCCAUUUCGUACAUGCUUGAACAUUGUAUGGUAGCUAGCUUAGUUGAUAAAAAAUGUAAGUUGUUGUAAUAUAGACGUGCAAUUGGAACUCGUGUGGGUUUGGCCUUUGUGCCUCCUUAUAUAUGUAUAAAUUAAAAGAACAGGCAUAUUAUUUUUA